CCUACGGGAGGCAGCAGCAAGGAAUAUUGGACAAUGGCCGCAAGGCUGAUCCAGCCAUCCAGCGUGCAGGAAGAAGGCCCUAUGGGUUGUAAACUGCUUUUAUCAGGGAAGAAACCUCUGGAUUUACUCCGGAGCUGACGGUGCCUGAAGAAUAAGCUCCGGCUAACUCCGUGCCAGCAGCCGCGGUAAUACGGAGGGAGCUAGCGUUAUUCGGAAUUACUGGGCGUAAAGCGUACGUAGGCGGUUAUUCAAGUCAGAGGUGAAAGCCCGGGGCUCAACCCCGGAACUGCCUUUGAAACUAGGUAGCUAGAAUCUUGGAGAGGUCAGUGGAAUUCCGAGUGUAGAGGUGAAAUUCGUAGAUAUUCGGAAGAACACCAGUGGCGAAGGCGACUGACUGGACAAGUAUUGACGCUGAGGUACGAAAGCGUGGGGAGCAAACAGGAUUAGAUACCCUGGUAGUCCACGCCGUAAACGAUGAUAACUAGCUGUUCGGGCACUUGGUGCUUGAGUGGCGCAGCUAACGCAUUAAGUUAUCCGCCUGGGGAGUACGGUCGCAAGAUUAAAACUCAAAGGAAUUGACGG
Molecule: ribosomal RNA, 582 nt
Filed under: uncultured bacterium
Lineage: Bacteria
Description: bacterial SSU rRNA
Rfam family: Bacterial small subunit ribosomal RNA
Source: RNAcentral